UUUGUCGUGUCAAAAAAGAACAACAUGAAAAAGAUGCCGAUGAUGAUAGAGACAAAGUGGUGAUGGAAAAGAAAAAAGAAAAAAAGAGAAACGAACAGAGUCACGAAAA
This 109-nucleotide non-coding RNA is filed under the name Fragilariopsis kerguelensis. The record is from RNAcentral. Lineage: Eukaryota; Bacillariophyta; Bacillariophyceae; Bacillariales; Bacillariaceae.